RNAcentral lists this long non-coding RNA (373 nucleotides) under Populus tremula. RNAcentral's name for it is "long non-coding RNA (PTRE_LNC002854)". The record is from RNAcentral. Lineage: Eukaryota; Viridiplantae; Streptophyta; Magnoliopsida; Malpighiales; Salicaceae.
GAUCACAGAAACUAAAUAAAUAUCGUCUCGAAGUUAUACGAUUACGCCAAAACACAAAAUGAAUUUGCAGAAAUUAAACGCAAUUACCAAAUUGUAGAAACUGAAGGGAAGACGAAAUACCAAAAUAAUUGCAGAAAUAAAAUGUAAAUUUCAAAUUGCAGAAGUUGAAAGAAACACAAAAUACCAUAUUUUACAGAAGUGGAAGACAAAAUAUCACUUCAAAAAAAAAUUAAGCCUUAUUUUAUAAAAUCAGCUCUGAUACCAUGUUGAAACAAUUCAAUUAACACAAAAUAAAUACGAACAUGAAAGAGAAGGAGGCUAGAAUUCUCCUUAAUUGAUUUGUAAAAAAUACAUUGUUUAAUCUAAAUACAAA